This 73-nucleotide transfer RNA is filed under the name Chloroflexota bacterium. RNAcentral's name for it is "Chloroflexi bacterium (marine sediment metagenome) tRNA-Thr". It matches the Rfam family "tRNA". Rfam says of the family: Transfer RNA (tRNA) molecules are approximately 80 nucleotides in length. The record is from RNAcentral. Lineage: Bacteria; Bacillati; Chloroflexota. RNAcentral also lists the same sequence under 1 other name.
GCCACCCUAGCUCAGUCGGUAGAGCAAGCCCCUCGUAAGGGCUAGGUCAUGGGUUCGAGUCCCAUGGGUGGCU